RNAcentral lists this ribosomal RNA (3355 nucleotides) under Campylobacter sputorum subsp. sputorum. RNAcentral describes it as "bacterial LSU rRNA". It matches the Rfam family "Bacterial large subunit ribosomal RNA". The record is from RNAcentral. Lineage: Bacteria; Pseudomonadati; Campylobacterota; Epsilonproteobacteria; Campylobacterales; Campylobacteraceae.
AACUUUUAAAUUAUUUCUUAGUCUAUAAAUCAUAGUUUAGAAAUAACUAUAAAAGAGUAAAUAGAAUAUAUAAAAAUAUUUUUUACUUCAUAAAUAUUAAUUAUAAUAAACUAAAAACUAAAAUUUCUGUAUAUAGUUAUCUGUUGUCUGUAAUCCGUAGGCGAACGUGGGGAAUUGAAACAUCUUAGUACCCACAGGAAAAGAAAUCAAAAGAGAUUACGCUAGUAGCGGCGAGCGAACGCGUAAGAGGGCAAACCACUAGUUUACUAGUGGGGUUGUAGGACUGCAUAAAAGACUAAAACAUGAUAGUAAAACAAUCUGGAAAGAUUGAGCAUAGAGGGUGAUACUCCCGUAUACGAAAUCAUCUUUUUACUUAGCAGUAUCCUGAGUAGGGCGAGGCACGUGAAACCUUGUCUGAAUCUGGGAAGACCACUUUCCAACCCUAAAUACUACUACUAGACCGAUAGUGCACAAGUACCGUGAGGGAAAGGUGAAAAGAACUGAGGUGAUCAGAGUGAAAUAGAACCUGAAACCAUUUGCUUACAAUCAUUCAGAGCACGAUUCUUUAUGACGUGUGAUGGACUGCCUUUUGCAUAAUGAGCCUGCGAGUUGUGGUGUCUGGCAAGGUUAAGGAAACCCGGAGCCGUAGCGAAAGCGAGUCUUAAUAGGGCGUUUAGUCAGAUGCUGCAGACCCGAAACGAUGUGAUCUAUCCAUGAGCAGGUUGAAACCGGUGUAAAAACCGGCGGAGGACCGAACUGGCAAGCGUUGAAAAGCUUUCGGAUGACUUGUGGAUAGGGGUGAAAGGCCAAUCAAACAUCGUGAUAGCUGGUUCUCUCCGAAAUAUAUUGAGGUAUAGCGUUGUGUCGUAACUAUAAGGGGUAGAGCACUGAAUGGGCUAGGGCGUAUACCAAUGUACCAAACCCUAUCAAACUCCGAAUACUUAUAGUGUAAUCACAGCAGUCAGGCGGCGAGUGAUAAAAUCCGUCGUCAAGAGGGGAACAACCCAGACUACCGACUAAGGUCCCCAAAUCUUAUUUAAGUGGAAAACGAUGUGAAGUUACUGAAACAACCAGGAGGUUGGCUUAGAAGCAGCCAUCCUUUAAAGAUAGCGUAAUAGCUCACUGGUCUAGUGAUUUUGCGCGGAAAAUAUAACGGGGCUAAAAUAAGUACCGAAGUCGUAGAUUCGGAAUACAGAUUACAGAAUACAGAUUACAGAGUUUAAAGAAAUAAAACAGAGUGAAUACAAAUAAUAAAAAACUAGAUGUAACUGAUUUAGAAAUUUAUAAAUCAUCUUAUAAUCUUAUGUUAGAAAUUCACAAAUUAACACUAUCUUAUCCAAAGAUAGAACAAUUUGGUGGUAUAGCUGAUCAAUUAAGAAGAUCAAGUAAAAGUAUAACUGCUAAUAUGGUAGAAGGUUAUGCUAAACAUAGAUUCUAUAAAGAUGAGUUUAAAAGAAUGCUAGUUUAUUCAAUAGGAAGUACAGAUGAAACUAUCUUAUGGAUAAGAGUUUCAAAAGAUUUAGGUUACAUUGAUGAAAAAAUAUCUAAUAAAUUAAUAAAAGAGUAUAAAAUCUUAGUUAGAAGAUUAUCUGUAUUUACAAGUAGUAUUAAAUAAUUAACUUUAAAUUCCGUAAUCCGUAUUCUGUCAUCUGUAUUCCGUCUGGUAGGAGAGCGUUGCAUUCAGCGUUGAAGGUGUACCGGUAAGGAGCGCUGGAGCGGAUGCAAGUGAGCAUGCAGGCAUGAGUAGCGAUAAUUAAUGUGAGAAUCAUUAACGCCGUAAACCCAAGGUUUCCUACGCGAUGCUCGUCAUCGUAGGGUUAGUCGGGUCCUAAGCAAAGUCCGAAAGGGGUAUGCGAUGGAAAAUUGGUUAAUAUUCCAAUACCUUUGAUUAUGUGCGAUGGAAGGACGCUUAAAGCUAGUGGGGCUAACUGAUGGAAUAGUUAGUCUAAGGAUGUAGGUUGAGUUAUAGGCAAAUCCGUAACUCUUUAUCUGAAAUCUUAAAGGCUUACAAAACUCUUCGGAGUAGCGUAAGAACCCAUGAUGCUAUAGAGCCAAGAAAAGUUUCUAAGUUUAGUAAUCAAAGCCCGUACCGUAAACCGACACAGGUGGGUGGGAUGAGUAUUCUAAGGCGCGUGGAAGAACUCUCUUUAAGGAACUCUGCAAAAUAGCACCGUAUCUUCGGUAUAAGGUGUGCCUACCAGGGUGUUAAAGCCCUAGAGGUUACAACAAAGAGUCCCUCCCGACUGUUUACCAAAAACACAGCACUCUGCUAACACGUAAGUGGAUGUAUAGGGUGUGACGCCUGCCCGGUGCUCGAAGGUUAAUUGAUGGGGUUAGCAUUAGCGAAGCUCUUGAUCGAAGCCCGAGUAAACGGCGGCCGUAACUAUAACGGUCCUAAGGUAGCGAAAUUCCUUGUCGGUUAAAUACCGACCUGCAUGAAUGGCGUAACGAGAUGGGAGCUGUCUCAAAGAGGGAUCCAGUGAAAUUGUAGUGGAGGUGAAAAUUCCUCCUACCCGCGGCAAGACGGAAAGACCCCGUGGACCUUUACUAUAGCUUGACACUGCUACUUGGAUAAAAAUGCGCAGGAUAGGUGGGAGGCUUUGAUCCAUAGAUUUUGGUUUAUGGUGAGCCAUUGUUGAGAUACCACUCUUUUUUAUUUGGGUAGCUAACUAGCAUGAGUUAUCCUCAUGUAGGACAAUGUCUGGUGGGUAGUUUGACUGGGGCGGUCGCCUCCCAAAAUGUAACGGAGGCUUACAAAGGUUAGUUCAAAACGGUUGGAAAUCGUUUGUAGAGUAUAAAGGCAUAAACUAGCUUAACUGUGAGGCAUACAAGCCGAGCAGAGACGAAAGUCGGUCUUAGUGAUCCGGUGGUUCUGUGUGGAAGGGCCAUCGCUCAAAGGAUAAAAGGUACCCCGGGGAUAACAGGCUGAUCUCCCCCAAGAGCUCACAUCGACGGGGAGGUUUGGCACCUCGAUGUCGGCUCAUCGCAUCCUGGGGCUGGAGCAGGUCCCAAGGGUAUGGCUGUUCGCCAUUUAAAGCGGUACGCGAGCUGGGUUCAGAACGUCGUGAGACAGUUCGGUCCCUAUCUGCCGUGGGCGUAAGAAGAUUGAGGAGAGUUGACCCUAGUACGAGAGGACCGGGUCGAACUAACCACUGGUGUAUGGGUUGUUCUGCCAAGAGCAUCGCCCAGUAGCUAAGUUAGGAUGUGAUAAGAGCUGAAAGCAUCUAAGCUCGAAGCCAACUCCAAGAUGAAUCUUCUUUUAAGAGCUCUUAUAGACUAUAAGUUUGAUAGGCUGGAUGUGUAAGUGAUGUAAGUCAUUUAGCUGACCAGUACUAAUAGCUCGUUUGCUUAUCUU